CCUACGGGCGGCAGCAGUGGGGAAUACUGCACAAUGGGCGCAAGCCUGAUGCAGCCAUGCCGCGUGUAUGAAGAAGGCCUUCGGGUUGUAAAGUACUUUCAGCGGGGAGGAAGGCGAUAAGGUUAAUAACCUUGUCGAUUGUCGUUACCCGCAGAAGAAGCACCGGCUAACUCCGUGCCAGCAGCCGCGGUAAUACGGAGGGUGCAAGCGUUAAUCGGAAUUACUGGGCGUAAAGCGCACGCAGGCGGUCUGUCAAGUCGGAUGUGAAAUCCCCGGGCUCAACCUGGGAACUGCAUUCGAAACUGGCAGGCUGGAGUCUUGUAGAGGGGGGUAGAAUUCCAGGUGUAGCGGUGAAAUGCGUAGAGAUCUGAAGGAAUACCAGUGGCGAAGGCGGCCCCCUGGACAAAGACUGACGCUCAGAUGCGAAAGCGUGGGGAGCAAACAGGAUUAGAUACCCUCGUAGUC
RNAcentral lists this ribosomal RNA (465 nucleotides) under uncultured bacterium. RNAcentral's name for it is "bacterial SSU rRNA". It matches the Rfam family "Bacterial small subunit ribosomal RNA", at positions 338 to 795 of the family's 1533-position model. The record is from RNAcentral.